GCACUGAUGAAGAGUCCUACAAUAAGACGAAACAGCUGUCCAGUGC
Molecule: non-coding RNA, 46 nt
Filed under: Schistosoma margrebowiei
Lineage: Eukaryota; Metazoa; Platyhelminthes; Trematoda; Strigeidida; Schistosomatidae
Source: RNAcentral